AUCUAGCUGACGAGUCCUAAAUAGGAAGAAAAGCGCUUCGUGAAU
This 45-nucleotide non-coding RNA is filed under the name Schistosoma curassoni. Lineage: Eukaryota; Metazoa; Platyhelminthes; Trematoda; Strigeidida; Schistosomatidae. The record is from RNAcentral.